UUUUUAUACUGAUCUGCUACAAUCGGUCCUACCAAACCCCACUCUGCGACCCACCAGAUCAAACUCUACCCAUAGAUCUUGCUGAUGAAAGUUCCCGAUUAUAUUGCUCGCAACUCCCAGCAAAUCUGACCGUCCGAUCCCCAGGCACUGAACUCCACCCCCCACGUCGGCUAACAUCUUCUCUCUUUCCACCACAAUUUCCACCCCAUUCUCAAACUCAAACGCCAUGUUGCCUAUCAUCCGUCCGAUCACCAUCGCGUCCCCAUCAAAACACAUGUCCAAGGAUCCACCGUACACGUACCCCUUCUUCAAUUUUGGCCCUGCUAGCUUCACAAUCUCCUCCUUCACUUUACUGUAGGCUUCGUCCACCAAGAAGGUGAACCACGUACCCGAAUCGAUCAAGGUCUGACCUGCUCCACUCGGAUCUGCUCGGAACGCUGACGUGGAAAUAUUGAGCUUUUUCCCAUUGAUUCGGAUCCCUAGCAUUGGAAGAGUGUAGGCCAGAGGGUCGAGAUUGGGCAUGCGUUGACUCUGACGGUAAGUCAUGAGAUUCACGUACUUAAACCCGGCUGAACUCGGGUUCGGACCCAGGUAAAAGGACCCGGUCGGAGAUGACCCGGAUUGGCUCCGGCGAGGUGGGACACAAUAGGAGAAUUUGGAGAUCUUAGCGAGAGAGGAGAAGGACAACCGGCCAAGGUUCAUUCCCAAAAUGCCCUGGGUGUCGCUGGAGUCCGUGGCGCAGCCGAGGAUCAAAGGAGGAGUAGUUUGGGAGCUGGAGAAUGUGAAUUUUUCUCUGACGAGAUUGCCCUCGGCGUAGGUGCCGUCAGCGUAGAAGUAAGAGUAAUGGCAGAGGCGAUUCUGGUCGCAGGAGGUGGGGAGGGUAUAAUCGGGAACUCGUGGUUUACAGAGAGAGUGGUUGCAGGGCAGAACAGAGAAGGAAGAAGAGAGCAAAGGGUCAAAAGCGGUGGGAGGAGUCUUGGGAGGAACUUUGCACUGGAUCCAAGACAAUUGGCUGCCGGUGUCCAACACCAUCUGUUGGGUCUGGGGCGGAGUCCCAAUAGGCAGAGAAACGAUCAAAGCCAUAGAAUACUUGAAAGAAGAUCUGUAGUUAUAGGACGUGGUUUUGGUAUUUGGGUUUUGCUUGAACUGCGAGGCGAGAGAAGAGGAGAAAAGGGAGUUUUUAGAAUGAGAAGAGAGAGGGAUAGAAGUAAGAGAGAAGGAGAGAGAAUGGUUUGAGGGCUUUGGAUAUGAGAGGGAAACGAGAGAGGCGAAGAGGAAGAAGAGAAGGAGAGGGGUGGAGGGAGCCAUAGCUGCAGCUGGAUGCCCGUAUGUGAUGUCAGUGUGGGAUUUUCUGUUUGCGUUUGGAGUUUGUAUUUAUAGUUGGAAGGAGCACAGCAAAAGUCCAAAAAAGCAAACCGCGUAUUUUUAAUUCAGUGGUUAUAUUUUCUAAUCAAACUUACUUAAUCCGCUAACUCUCCUUUAUUUUUUUUUUCUUUUUUUCUCUCUACUCGGUGGGCCUCCUGCCGUCUAACUUCUUGCAAGUUACAAACUUACAACUCAAAAGGCCAUGCACCUUUUACCUCUUUGGUAUCUGAAAAUUGUCAUUAUCAAACUUGUGUUACUAGAAUUUGAAUUUUCCCAAGGCAUUUCACAACAGAAAAUAAGACAAGAUAUUUCAUUCUUCUACUAUGCUAUCCGAUCACUUAUUAUGCAAAUUUGUGUUAAAAGUUGAAUUCUGCAAUAAAAAUAAAUCUAAAUAUUUACUCUCAAACUUUAUAUUUCAGAAUUUUUAUGAUUAAAACUUAAUAAAAUUACAAGAAAAAUUAUUGCCCAAAUUUUACACAUUAAAAAUGUGCGUUUCAUUCAUAGAAAUUGAAGUAUAGAGAAAAUUAAAAUUGUGACAAAAUUGGAUUUUAGUUUUUUCACUAGAAAAUUCUUAAUUCAUAUUCUUCGAUCAGAUUUUGAUCAUCUUAUCUUGUUCUUUAACCAUCCCAUUUAAAAAUAUUUAUAGUAUUCAACCACCUUCAUUUGAGAGAUUCAUCUGUCUAAUAUACUAAUAAUAUUGUUAUAAAUCAAUGUCCUUCUAAAAUGAAGUUAACUUUUCGAUCAGACUUUCUGUCAUUUUAUCUAAAAACUAAUUAACAUCUGAUGGAGAUAAAUCAACCUUCUUAUAACAUGUUAUCAUAAUUAUUUAAGUGAUUUAUUCCCUAAAUUAAGAUGAACAAUAAUAAUCUCCCUCCCAACAUGAGGGUCCGAUGGCUCAAAUCAUGACCCUUAGUUUUAAUAUCAAUUUUUGGAUUGAACUUUAACUAUUCUAUUUUAAAAUCCAUUGAUGCCCAAUAAGAGUAGAUCAAGCCUUUAAAGAAAUUUGAUUCUCAUCAUUUGAGUGGUCAAUCCUCACUUGAAAAACAAUAUUGUUGCACCCCAAUACAUAUUCUCAUUUAUUAACAAAUUCAAAUAUAUUAAUAAUUUAAAAAGGAAAAUGGAUUUCCUCUCAUUAAUCCAUAUUUAAAUGUUUCAAACAAUGUCAUUAAGUCACAAAUUUUGGAGCAAAACAAAAAAUAAAUAGCCAAGAAAAAAAUUCAGAAAGAUAAAAUACCCAAAAGGUUGUCAUAAGAUGCAAAACAUCAUUAAAUAUUAAAACAUAUGAUCUUCAUGGGUUAUGCUCAUUCAAUUCAUAAGCAUAUCCCUUUAUUUAAAUAAAGAAGAGCCCAAAGUGACAACACUUGGUCGGAGGUGUUUGAAUUCCAACAAUUCUUUGCCCAAAGUUCGUUGGAUAUAUAUAAAAAUGAGCUUUUUGUUUAUUUAUUGAUGAAGUGUUCAUCAUCAUAGCAUCAAAUUAUUUAAAAGAAGAAAUACCCAAUAAUUCUUGUGUGCAUUUAUUUUGCAAUAUGAUUAGCAUAGAAUAAUAAUAUUCAUAGUGAAAUAUUCCCUUCAUAUUAUCUUUGUAGAACAAAUUGACUUAGUGGGUCCUUAGACCUUACGUGGUUCAUACGCACAAAGACUUGCUUUUCUCAAUACAGAUGCCCCCCACUUUAGAGUCUCCAUUGCAACGUAGCCACUAAAAAUGCUAUAACUUAAAGGUGAUGUAUUUUCAUUUUUAUUAUUAAUAAUAAUAAUUACAAAAAUAAUUAUUACUAUUAAAUUUAGUCAUAGUUAUUAGUGACUAAUAAAUUUGGUAGAUCUAACAAAGUUGUUUUUUUUGCAAAUAUAAAUUGUUAUUUCAUUUAAAUUAUCCAAAUUUAUAACCAAAGUGUUUUUAUGUAUUGUGUUAAGAUUUUCAGAGUCUAAUUAUUAUCGUAAUACUAAUGAUAUUUUAAGUUAUGAUAUUUUGGGGAUUUUACAUAUGUAAUUUGGUUAUUUUAUUUAUAUUAUAUUUAUGAUAACCAAUUUUUAACUUUUAUAGAGAGGUCUUUAGGUAUCGAAAGAGAUAAAAAAAUGCAAACAGAAAAAUCUAGACAAUGAGACAUUUUUGAAAUUCUCUUGUAGUCUCUUUUCAUCGUAGUAAAAAUCUACGGUAAGUAUAAGUGGAUGUAUCUCUCACAUUGAGAGUAAAUCAUUAUAAAUCUAGUAUGUUUUUGCACUUUAUUUUUUCUAUUGGUUUAUUUUCACUUUCAGAAAAUAGGAUUAUGGUGUUUUAAUCCUAACAACAUAUGCCGAGGAGAUUUAAAAACUAUUUAUUUCUUAUAUUAGAUAGUACGAAAGAUAGAUUAAUAAAAAAUAAUAAAAUGUUGUAAAUUUCCAAAAUUUUGAAUAAUUAUAUAUAUAGUUAAUUAAGAUAGCUUAGACUAGGUGGGUGUAAAUAAUAGUAAGGGUAUCGUGAAUGGGGUGAAGAUGAUUUGUCGGAAAGAUGGAGGUAAAGAUCAUAAAUCAAGAUUUGUCGGAAAGUUGGAGCAACCAACGUAAGCAAUGGAUAAGUGGGGGAUGGGGAUUGCACUGAAGGAUUGACUUCAGUGCAGCAAGGAGCUGGAUGAAGAUAAGAGAAGAAUAUCAUAUUCACACUCAUAGUAGUGUAUGCGUGUAGAGUAGAAAGAAGGAAUAGAGUCAGCAACUGGCAAAAGGCGUCAAACCCCGACAUUACGCCUCCAAUGGGAUGCACACGCUUGUUCCACAGGGGCGGAGCCACAUUGCCUCUAAGUCCAUCCAUGCGUUAAGUGGACAAAGACCCAUUGGUUCGAUCUUGGAUUGGUUUGAUGUCUUUCAAGACUUUCUAAGAAAAACAUUUAACAUUGUAUAUAUAUUUUUUACUUAAUUUUUUAUUUCAUAAUUUUUUUUCGAAGCUUAAAGGCUAUGUUUGAUUUCCUAAAAAUGUAAGGAAAAAUGCAAGAGAAAAAAAAUAAAAAAAGAGGAAAAAUAACAAUGUAUUUAAUAUUAAUAAAUUAUUUUUAUAUGCUACUUCAAACUAAUUUUACUUAUUUUCACUUUCUAAUAUAAAGAUUAAAUUAUUUGAAAAUACAUAAAUUUUUAAUUAAUGUUAUUUAUAUAUAUAUAUUUUUAUUAUUUUCUAUAAAAUAACUAAACAUGAGAAAAUUAUUUUUUUUUUAAUAUUUUUUUUCUUUUCUUAAUAUUUUUCAGGAAUCAAACAUAACCAAAAGGAAAAAAAAUAGACCACAUAACUAAUUUUAUUUUGUCUUCAAUGUUGCUAAAAACCUUAAUCAUUUUUUCAAAGUUUCAAUCAAAGAAGACUCGAGUACUGAAAAUGAAGAUAUUGGAAAUUGAUGAAGAGGGAUUAGACAUGCAAACGGAAGUCUAUGUUGAUAUGAAUUGGGAUACCGAAAUUUGAGGUUCACAACAAAACACUUAGCCCAUGCCACAAAAAUACAAAUGGGGUUCAAGUAGUUGACCCAACGUUUGAUAUCUAAAGCUCAUGGCCACAAUCAUAGCUAAAACAUCUUAUUCCCAACAACUCAUCCCCACUUGGUUUGCCCAAAUUAACAUCAAGCCAACCAUUCAAAUUAUUUUCAUUUUUCUACUUAUUGUCCCAUGGUUAGAAUUUCUUUUUUUUGACCAAGAAAUUGUCACCAAAUGCUUUAAUGUUGCAAUUAAAAUCACAGUCCCUCUUUGUUAUUAAAAGGAAAAGAUAUCGUAUUCAAUUAUCAUAUGGCGGAAAAGAUGGUAGAAAUGGCAAAUAUGGAAAAGACUUUCCCCUUUUGCUUGAACUACCAACUGCCCAAUUUAUACUCAAAACCAGCCAGCAAUUAAAAUAUCUUCUCUCAAUUGCUCAUUUGCUUUAUUAGCCCUUUUUCUUUUCUUUUUCUUCCUUCUCUUAGGACACCUUCUAAUAUUGAACAACCGACAGCCAAAGGAUAAAAAUGAUGAUAUAAACUUUCUAGAUUGACAAGCAAUUGUUUGUUUGUAAUUAAUUUUUUUUCUCCAUAAAUAAUAUAAAUAUAAUAAAAAUGAAAAAAAAAAUUAUUUAUAGAUUUUGGCUUUUUUUUUUUUUGAACGGAAAAGGAAUACAUGACGAGCUUAUGUAUGUAGUAUAAAAAAGUAACCCUUAAUAAAAAAAAUUAUCUAACUCUUAAAAAUGUCCCAAUUACUUGUGGGUUUGAUUUUUAUCUUAGCAAAUUUUUAAAGAUAAUUUUGUGAAAUUUUUUACUUUUAUCUUAAUGAAAAAAGUCAUUUUUUUUAAACUUUAAUUUUAUUAUAAUACUUAAAUCUAAUUUUUCACAUUGAAAAUUUUGAAUAAUUCUUGUUUGAAAACCAAAAUAAACUACCUCAAUUUUUUGCAAUUGAAUAAGAAAUGAAUCUAUUAAUACUCUACAAAGUUGUUAUCGAAACAAAACCAAGUAUAGGUUUUGCUUUUGUCCAAUUUUUUAAGCAUAAUAGGCAUUUGAUAAGUUAGGUAUUGUUUGAUAACUAUUUUUAAAAUUUUUAAUUAUUUAUAAUUAAAAAAUAUUGAAAUGUGCUUGAUAAUAAAAAAAAAAAUAGAAAAUAAUUUUAUAUUCUUUAAAAAAAAAAAAAAACAGUUUUCAUGUUUUUGAAAACAUAAAACAAGUUAAGAACAUUUCAAGUUUCAAAACAAACUUUUAUUCUACAAAAAUAUCAAACAAUUAUUAUUAAAAAUUGUUCUUAAAAACUAAUUUUUAAAACUAUUUUCCAAAACACUUCUCAAACUAUUAUAUAUAUAUAUAUAUAUUUUUUUUUUGGAUAUUUAGGGUUUGUUUGGAAUUGACUUUUAAAAUAAUUUUUUGUUCUUUGAAACAAAAAACAUAGAAAACACGUUUAGAAACCAAAAACUUUUUUUGUUUUCUAAAAAUAUUUAUUACUUGUUUUUUUUAAUGUUUUUAUUUGUUUUCUAAAAACAGCUUUAAGAAAUAAUUAUACAAAUAUGUAAAAUGAUUAAAAAUAAAAAACUAGAUAUAAAAAUUAUUUUUAAAAAUAUAAAAAAUGAGUUAAAGUUAUUUUAAGUUUUCAAACAAACUUUGACUCUAUUUAAUAACUGUUUUCGAAAAUAAUUAUGAAAAAUAGUUUUUAGAAACAGUUUUUAAAAGUUGUUCUUUGAUUUUUGUAAAACAAAAGUCUAUUUAAAAACUUAAAAUGCUUUUAACUUAUUUUUAAAUAUAAUUUAAAAAUAAUUUUUAUAUCUAAUAUUUUAUUUUUAAUUAUUCUAUAUUUUUAUAUAAUUAUUUAUUAAAAUAGUCCUAGACAAACAAAUGAAAAUAAUAAAAAAUAAUUAAAAAAAUAUUAUAUAAAAACACCAUAUUUUAUAUUCUUAAAUAAUCAAAAAUAGAAAACAGUUUUUAAUUAUCAAACAUGUUUUUUAUAUUUUUUGUUUUGAAGAACAUAAAACUUAUGUAAAAAAUUGUUCUCAAAUAAACCCUUUUAUUCUACCAAAAUUAGAGAACAAUUUAAAAAAACCGCUUUCAAAAACUAUUUUUAAAAAUAAUUACCGAACGGAACCUUAAUUAUCCAAAAUCUUGAAGGGGCAACAUCUUUAGGAAUAAAGGAAAGGAAGAUCCUGGAUAAAAAGGUAAAGAAAUAGACAGAUAAUAAUGAAGUGACGUUGGGAUAGUGAAAUAUUCACGGAUCAUGGAGGAGCGCCCAUCACGGGCAGUCCAAUAUAAAGUGUAAAAAACGAAGGAGAGAGUGUUACACUCUGACACAAACAGGAAGUGAGAUACAUCCAACACUUGGAUAUUUGUCUUCGUGAGAACAUAAUGGAUUGUUGUUGACUUGCUUCCUUUGAGAUCCCUUUCUACGACGGCAUUGUUUUGCCAUAUCUAUGUUCACGUUCACGUCAUCACGUGAGUGAGAUAGCACUAAGGCCUUCCUUUCUUUUUCCGCGUAAACAUAUCUCAACUGUCCCUCCUCCGGAUUGAUUGCCAAGUUUUUUUUGCUUCAUGCACCCGCCCUUUAUUGCCGGCUACAUUUGAUUGAUUCAUAGAAAUUUCAAUUUUUUAUUUAGGUAGAAAGUGGUUAAAAUUUGGAGAAAAAAAUAUUUGUAACCCCUACUUUAGCUUGUUUGAUGGUUUUUCUCAUGGGUAAAAAGUGGAAUGUACCCUUUAAUUUUUUUCGCUUCUAGAAGGGAUUAUCAAAUUAUUUAUAGGAAUACUCAAACAUCACAUCUCAUGUUAUAACCCAUUCGAGAUUUUAUAUUAAUAGCUCAAAAAUAAUAAGAUCAUGGUAUAACCCAAAAUCAAGAUCAUGUUUAAUUAUCAAAGAAAAUAAAUUUGAAGCAUACUUGGAUCCAUUAUAACAGUGUAGACCCCCAUUUAGGCAUGAGUCACUUUUUCUCUAUUUGUUUUUGCAGAUCACAUUUUUAGCCAGGUGUCACUAUCCCAACGGGCCACGUGUCACAUCCUUAGUGGCCAUAAGAAAUCCACCUCGCUUUUUGAAGCUAUAGUAGGACUUUGACACGUGGAGGAACUUUCUGGAAGGGGGUCCCGCAGGCCGUCAAGGGGUGCGGAUGAGAGAGAAGGAAAGGUGGUUGCAGAAGGAGGGGUGCAGGAAAGGUGGCUGCGGCAGAGAUCGUUGGAAAGGCAAAUCCGAGAAACAUAGGAGUUUUUCCUAAAAGGGAGGACAGAGACAGAAGAAAAAAGAAAAAAGGAAAGAAAAACGGGAGGAGGUUUUCUGAAAGGGGGGAGGGGACAACAUUGUGGAGGAACGGAGAAGUUUUUCUGAGAGUUUUGAGGGAAAGAGUAUUGGUUGAAUUGCAGUAGGAAGCUAAGAAUAGAGGAGCGUAGAGUUGCUGGGAAGAGUCCAGGACACGAAGCUGAGAAGGGAGAUUUCCAGGUAUGCCCAUUUGUUUUUUUUUUUUUUUGUAUAUAUUUUCCAUUUUUUUUUCAUACUGUCCAGGUCUGAUUGUCAGUGAUUUUUCAUUUCUGCUUGUUGGGUUGUUCUGUUUUGGUGAUUACUGAUUAAAUAUUGGAAGAGUUUGCUGUGUUUUAUGCCCUAUUUUGACGAAUAUUUUCCAUCGUAACUCACUGGAUGUUGGACCCAUGGAUGAAACGAUGAAAUGGGUCCGAUAUGCUGGUUAAAGUCUUCAUGUUCUUCUUCUUGUUGCUAUCCUGUUAUCUCCUUGUUUUCUUUUCCUCCCUGAGUGCAUACUCAAGGCUCCAAAGUCGAGAGAAAGUUUGGGUUGAAGUGGAACCUGGCAUCCGAUGGUGUGGUGGUCCGUGGGCAAGAUCUUCAGGUCCGAGUUGAAGUGCGAGGUGGAUUCAUCAGAAUAAGAGGAGCACAUUUUGUGAUGAAUGGUAGCCCUUACUAUGCCAAUGGCUUCAAUGCCUACUUGGUUGAUGUAUUUGGUUCCUGACCCAUCUCAACAGGCCAAAGUCUCAGUUGCUUUCCGUGAGGCUUCAAGCCAUGGCCUCCUUGUGGCUAAGAUCUGGGUUUUCAGUGAUGAUGAGAACAGGCCUUUUCAGUUUUCUCCAGGCUUUCACAGUCAGCAAAUACCCAAGGUUGCGUACUACCAGACAUAUUUGUCGGCUAGACGUGGAGGCAUCUGCUAGUGGCCUGCCCAUUGUGUUUAUGUCCAUGCACAUGACUUCACUCUGCAUGAUCCCUAUCUCUAUUCUCAUGCAAGUGUGUCGUCAUCUCAUCCCUAUGUUUUUUUUCCCUUAUCCACCAUACCCAUCGUUCAUUUAUCUGCCUUUCUCUCUAGGUCGUCAUACCCAUUUCCUCACUCAAGCUUGCAGGAAUCAAGCAUCCUCCACCACACCCAUUUUCCUCUCAUUCAUUCUCCAUCCCACUUCCUCACUUACAUGGAGUCUCACGGGUGCAUGCUAUCCUUCACUCAUUCGCAUACCCAUUAAAACCACUCACUCAAGCCUCCAUAUCCAUACAACCCACCAAACCCGUUUCUCUCUCUAAACUUUCACCUACCUGUGGGAUCCUCCCUAAAAAAAUGCCACGUGGCUCUCUCUCCCUUGCACAUGCAAACGGUCCCCCUUGCUACACGAGGCAUAGCUCAUUCCACCCGGAGAAGAAUUCUGUCCGGCCGACGUUCAACCCUCUCCGGAUAUAUCACAUUCGGAAUUCUGUUCGGCCGACGUUCCACCUUCUCCGGAUGUCUCACAUCCGAAAUUCUGUCCGGCCGACGUUCCACCUUCUCUGGAUGUCUCACAUCCGGAAUUCUGUCCGGCCGACGUUCCACCUUGUCCGGAUGUCUCACAUCCGGAAUUCUGUCCGGCCAACGUUCAACCUUCUCCGGAUAUCUCACAUCCGGAAUUCUGUCCGGCCGACGUUCCACCUUCUCCGGAUGUCUCACAUCCGAAAUUCUGUCCGGCCGACGUUCAACCUUCUCCGGAUAUCUCACAUCUGGAAUUCUGUCCGGCUGACGGUCCACAUUUUUCUUCAUCCUUAGAGCAUUUUCUUGAGGUUCCCAAGAUCUCAUUUUCAAUAAAUUUUGUCGUGAAACUGAUUCACCCAAUAGUAAACGGGCUUUGGUGGGGGCCCUAUGAUUACUACUCAAAAAGUGCUAUUUGAUAGCUUGUAAUUAACUCUUUUAAACACUUUUGAGUAGUAGUUAUUGCCUUUUAACCCAAUUAACAUGUUAAGGACCCUUGCAAUCAAUUCUAAUCAAAUUGUGUUAAGUUUUGGUGUUUUGAUAGCUUUUUUAUCACCAAAGCAAUUUAAGAAUGAGGGAGAGCUGUAUAUAGUUCAUGGCAAAGCUUUUGGAAGCUCAAAUUCAUGAAGAAACCCAGCUUUGGAGCCCCAUAUCCCUUUUCCAAAGUCGUUCAAAGUAUGCAAGGAGAGAAGCAAGGAGAGAGGAAAAACAGAGUGAAGAAAACAGAGGACAGCAGCUGCAGUCUUCUUUCACACUUUUGGAGCACUUUCCGAAGUCCAUUUUCUACAUGCUAUAUACCAUUUCAAAGCUCAGGAAGUCAAGAAUCCAACGCUUCAAACCGUGUAUGAUUUGGAGCUGAAAUGAGGAAGUUACAGCCUUUGGAAGAUGACUGCUCCAAGCUGAAGGAAGGAUUCAGCAAAGUGUUGCGAAAUCACCCUUUUGUUGCGGAAUGAUUUCGCAGCCUUUUUGCACAGUGCUUUGGAUUUCCCUUGAAGUUUCACGCCGCGAGAUGAAAGCCAACUUCGCAGCCCUGCGAGAAUAACUUGUUGUUGCGAAUUGAUUUCGCAGCCCUUCUUGAGUGCCUGCGAAAUCUCGCAGACACCAUUUUCUCUUGCGAAAUGGUCCUUAGUGCUUCCCGAUAUUUGUGACCGACACUUUGAGAUAUUUUUCUUCAGAUUUUUGUGUCUAAAUUUCCAUUUUCUCCUUGUAUUCAGCCACUCAUGUAAUUCCUUAGCUAGGAAGUAUCCAAGGAAGGGUAAAUUACCUUCCUAUAUAAACUCUCUUGUAAACACUAAGAAAGGACUCUCAGAGAGAUCAUGUAAUCGAUCAAUAUAUAGAAUAUACAGAGCCUUGCUCUGUUUUUCCUUCUCUUUCAUUUUUCAUUUCUUUUUAUUUCUAGCCAACCAAACUUUGAGGAUUUUUCCUCAGAGGAUGAAAGGCUAAGCUUUUUGUCUCUUGGAGUAAGGAAAGCCGGGUAAGUUUCCACAUGUAUAAUUUGGAAGUUUUGUUGUUUUAGUUUUUAAUGAAGAGAAAGUGUAGCCCGUUAAUGGUUUUUAUCUUUUUAGUUAACUUAAAACGCCUUUAAAUCACCUAGGCCAACACUUGGUAAGGCAAGUGAUCUCCGUCCAUGGAGAUGCACUAGUUUACCCCUUGCGAGCCUUUGGGAGGUGGUUUGAAGGUAGGAUUUUCUAGAAUAGCCAACACUUGGUAAGCUUUUGGACUCCAAGGAGACAUCCAUUAGUUAUCUCUUGCGAGCUUUUGAAGGGUAAUCCAAGGUUAAAGAUCACCUUGAAUGGCAAGUGCUAGGUGAGAGGUAUGAGCCAUUGCAAGAUGCAUCAGUGAGAGGGAUUUAGUGUUUGAACCCAUUAAAGGGAAGCAUCUGUACAACACCGGUUAGAGAAUUAACUAUAUGUUAAUUCUCUAAUGCGAGGAAAAGAAACAAGUGACCGGAUCUCUCUUUUUUGUAUGAGGAACCUGAGCCUAGUGAUCUGAAACUCCAAGAAACACUUUUCUUUGUAAGUAAAAUCAGUUACUAUUUUUGGUUAGUUUAAAUCUAAACCUUUUUCAUUCAAACAUCUUUAUGUUUUCUUUUAAAGCUAACCUUGAAAUGAAAAGACACCAAUUCAGCUUUGAAUUAAUAACAUUUGCAAAGUGAAAACCCAUCCCAGUGAACGAUCCUAGAGCCACUAUACUAUAGUAGCUUUGUCUUUGCUACCCUAGUAUAUGGUGUAAUAGGUUAUAAAUUUUGUUGAUUAAUCCCUCAAUCAAGGAGCACUAGCUGGACACGAAUCAGCUGAGACACCAAUUGGACAUGAAUCAAAUGGCGCCGUUGCCGGGGACCGAACCCCGAAUCAAAUGGUGCCAUUGCCACUGCCGCUGCUAGGGACGAAUCAAAUGGCGCCGUUGCCGGGGACCGAACCCCGAAUCAAAUGGUGCCAUUGCUACUGCCGCUGCUAGGGAUGAAUCACCCCACAUAUGUGACUGAUCGAUUGAUUUACUUGAUUAUCAUACAUAAUUGAUUUAUCCUGCUCUUUGAUAUGUAUGCUAUUGUUUCUUAAUUGAACACUAACCUUCCUUCUUGAUAGCGCAUGGUGGCUCAUUGCCUAGGUACGUACCCACUUUCACUCUGAUCAGUGUCUAUGCAUGUUCUGAUUUUCACAUGUGCAUGAUUUAUUCGGGGUAUCCAUUGAUUUAAUCAUCAAUUUCCACGUCAGCUUCAUUUUAUUAGUAGAGACCGACUUUAGAGGCUUAGAGGGGUGUUACGGUCUUUACCGUAUCUUCCCGAUAAGUAACCUGACCCCCGAACCCGAUCCGGUUUUUCACAGACCACCUUUUUCAAACUAAGGAGUCACACUUAGGGUUUUUUCUUUCUUAUUUUGUUUACCCUUUAAAAAAUAAAACAAAAAUAAGUGGCGACUCCAAGUCAUUUUUUUUAACCGAUUAAAUCAUUUUUCAAAAUAAAAAUCGAGCUCGCCAUCGAGUGGGGAACGCAUGAGCCGAAAUGCGGGGUCCACACAUAGGGAAACGAGAGUUUAGUCUUUCACAUCUAAACAUUUCUUCUUUAAAGAGAAAAAUCUUAUUUCACUCAACGAUGAUAUAUAUGAGUAAAUUCUCUAGAUUUGUUUAGGCUGAGAACCUCAACCUAUUUAUAUUUUUAAUUUAAUUUUAUUGUUGAUCCAUCAUAAAAAUAAAAUAAAAUAAAAUCAAGUGGCAUUUACACAUUAAAAUCCACAUUUAUUGAGACGCCUAAACCCGAUAAAAAAACUUAUUUGAUCACUUUAAUGGGUAAAAAUGAUAGCUAAUAAUUUACUAUCAAUAUAUGUGAGCCCAUUUUAAUAAUUUUCCAAUAAUAAAUAAAAAUGAGUGGAUCUCAUUCUCUAUCUUUCUUAUCACUUGUAACAAAAAAAUUAUUAGGAUAUUUUUUUUCUAUUUUUCUCAAUACUUAUGAUAAAAAUAUUGCCACCAUUGAAAUCAAUUCUUAAAAAGUGUUUGUUAAAUCAAUUUAAUAACUUAAUAUAAUUUAAUUAAUAAAUUAAUUUAAGUUAUUAAGUAUAUCAUAUAUGUUGGACAAAGUAGCUAACAUAUCAAAAUAUUUAACUUUUUAAAAUCCCCCAAAUAUCUUUUGUUUUAGUUUUUUAGAUCUCUUUUAUUUUUAUAAUAGUGCUCAAUAUUACUAAGAGUACAUUUGCUAAUUUAAUAAUUAAAAAUUUUGAAGUUAGUUUUAUCAAAUCAUCUUAAUGAUUAAAGUAAGAGUUAAAUAAUAAGUUUUAAAUUAAUAAUUUAAAUAUAAUUUAACUUAAAAUUAUCUAAAAUUGUCAAGUAUUAAUUUUUUUUAUUUUUUUUUAUAAAAACCACUUUAGAUCCUAUUUAAGAUCUCAUCCAAUCUUAAAUAUUUAAGGAAAUUAAAUAAAGUCAUGUACUCCACAACUUAGUUGAAAAAUGAAAAAAAUUGUUACUUACUUGAGAUGGAGAAAUGAUAACGCAAUUUUUUUUUUUUUUAAAAAUAGAAAGUAUUUUCAUCUAUUUUUCUAAAAGGAAAAUAUAUAGAGAUUAAAAAAACUAUAAAAAAAAUAAAAUAAAAUAAAAUAUGAUAUCUUUUUUCUUUUCUAUUUAAGAUCUAAUACCAAUAAAAAAAAUCUUCAAAUAUAAUAUUGAUUUGAACUACAACAAUUUUUUUUUUUAAUAUUUUCUUCAACUUUUUUUGAAAUUUUUUAUGAAACAAAAAAAAAAAAAAAAUCAAAUCAAAAUAGACUAAAUGCAUAAAAUUUAGUAAUUUUUAAAAAUAAUUUGAAAUUAAAAAAUUAAUUUAAUUAGUAAUAGAGAGUCAUGAAAGUUAAUAAUAUUAUAAAGUUAUAGAUCAAAAUUUAUUUUGAAUUAUUUAACUAUUUUCUUCUUGCAUAUAAUAAUUUUUUUUUUUUUUGCAAUAGAGUUAAGUAUUUUUUUUUUAAAAUAAUUUAAGAUUCAAGUAAUAAUCCAAUCAAUACUAGAAAUUUAUGAACAAAAAUUGGUAUAAAAUAAAUUUAUUGUUUCCCCUCUACAUAGAACCAUAUUUAUUUAUUUAUUUUUUUUACUAGACAAAUAAAAUUCAAAUUAAGCAAGACUAAAUAUACUAAAUUUAUUAAUAGUUUAUUAAUUUUUAAAAUAAUUUAAAACUCAAAUAGUGACCUAAUUAAUAUCAUAAAUUUAUAGAUAAAAAUUGAUUCAUAAUGAUUUUAUUAUUAUUUUUCUAUAUAUAAUUAUAUUUUUAUAAAUUUUCUGACUAAAGAAAUGAUCUUUAAAUCAAGUAAGACCUUACCUUUAAUUUAUUAAUAAGUUUAAUAAUUUUUAAAAAUAAUUUGAAAGUUAAAAAACCGGUCCAAUUAAUUGUAAAUUAAAUUAAAACAUUUCAGAAUACUUUAUUCAUAAUUUGAUACUAAAUGUAUGCAUGUAAUUAAUGAAAAACUUAGCUCAAUUUACAUAUAAAAAAGGGUUAAACUUCAUAUCCUAAAUUUUGUGAUAACCAAUGAUCUAACGUCAUAGUUUGUAUAAUUUGUUUUUUCUCAAGAUGCCACUAGAAACAACUUGACAGGGUAGAUAAAUAAGGAUAUCAUAAAUCCAUUCUAAUCCAUAGAAGUUUGAAAGAUUUGUUUUGAGUUCACUCCUCCCAUUUUGUGAUAAUCGUGAUCUAAUCUCAUAGUUUAUAUAAUUUUUUUUUCUCAAAGAUGACAAUAGGAGAGAGGAAUAAGGAUAUUAUAAAUCCAUCUAAUCCAUUGAAGUUUGAAGGAUUUGUUUUGAGUUCAUCCUCCCUAGCACUAUGAUAAUGAUACAUUCACAUGCACAAAAGAUCUCGGUAUACUGCUAAUGAUUUUGUGUGAUAUGAUAAAGAUGUUGUCGUUACAUAGAAAGUGAUUAUAGCGUUUGAUAUUUAUAAGAGAAAAAUUAUUUACACCUAUAAACUCUUUCAAAUUGUGUAGGCAAAGCUUAAAGAUGUGUCGAUUUCAAAAGUCGAAUGUGUCGAUCAUUGUAAUUAUCCGAUAAAUAUGGGUGAAUAAUGUUUUAAAAAAAUCAAUUUAAAAAUUAUCUCGGGGUCGAACACAUAAUUGUAAGGUAACAUUGUCAUGAUAAAAUAUCUUUGAGGGUAAAAUUGAAAAAAGAAAACCUUUAAUCCGCCAAAAUGAAUCCAUUAAAUAUCAUGUUCUUAUCCUAUGAUGGAAUUAGGCACCGAAAGGUGCCCUUGUUUUAUUAGAGACAGUCAGCCACAACAACUGAACUUGAACAAAAAGACAACUCGUUUAUUUUUUUUUUCUCAUGUCAAGUUUUCUAGGGAAUAUUCCUCAUGUUGCUCAUCAAUUGUUUGAUAAAAAAUUUCUAAGUAUAUUUUACCCGGUACUCUUAUGCGACAAUGGAAGUUUGGUGGACAUCAAUUCUUCACUUGAAAUUAAAUAUUGAGAAACAAAAAUCUCAAGUGAGCCAUGUUGGGAUGCCCACAUGUGGGAAUCUAAGCAUAUAUAUGAAAAUGGUUCACGGGUUAUGCAGACAACAGGAGGUUGGUUCAAAGGAUAAAUACAAAUGUGUGCUCUAAAUCAGGAGGCAUAAUAUUUUCUUUGUAUUGUCUCCAUUAUAAAGAUGAAGGUAUGCAGUGAUUUAAUAAGGAGACAUCUACUUAAAUAAAUGGUCUAACUUUUUAUCAACAAGGAGUAUGCUUCACUUAAAAACAAAUCAGGAUCAAUAUUGAUAAACGACAGCCCUCUAGUAAACAAACACACACACAAGCACAAUGUUUUCUACCAACCAUUUUCCUUCCCAUGAUUUAAAAUUCAUAAACUUAAUGGAGUUUGGCAUAGGAAGAUAACAUUUAGUAUUUGUUCUUCUAGUAAACACUAUUUAUUUGUUCCUUAAUUAGGGCUAUGUUUAAUUUCCAAAAAGAAUUAAGAAAAGAAAAAAAUAUUAAAAAAAGUGAUUUUUAUAUAUUUGGUUUCAAUAUAAAAAUUAGAAAAGAAAAUCAAUUAUAAUUAAAAUUAGUUAGAAAUUUAUAUAAAUUAUAUAGGAGAGGAAAAAUAAGUGAAAUGAGUUUGACGUAGCAUGUAAAAUAAUUUAUGGAUUUGAAGUCUACAUUUUAUUUUUUUUCACUUUUCCUUUGGAAAUUUUUUUGGUAUGAAACACUUAUGUUGAUAAAAUGAUUUGAACCAUUUAUUUGAAAAAUGGGUAUUUUGUUCCCUCUUUUUUUUUCUUUGAUCCGAUAUUGGUGAAUUGAUGACCUAUGUCUAUGUAUUAAGUAAGAAGAUUUUUUUUUUUAAUUUAAAAAAAAAAUAAAAGAAACAACUUUGCUAACAACUACAUAUGUUUGGUCAAAGGAGUCCUCUGAAAAUUCUAGCCUUGGAUUAGUGUGAUUAGUUUCGAUAUUCUUACCAUUUUUUUCUCUAUUUUUUUCCUCACAUUUUUUCUCAUAUUUUUUAAGAACCAAAUGUAACCUAUAUAGUUAUUAGAUUUUUAGGAUUUGAGUGUUUUUUUUAAUCCAUUUGUAGCUCUAAUAAAAAAAGAAAAAUGAAAAUAAAGGAGAAACAAAUUGGAGUAUUAUCCAACUUUUAAAAUUUGGAUUGAAUUAACUAAUAGUUUUAAUAAUAUAUUUAGUCUCUAAAAAAUACCAAGGAAAGAAAAAUAUCUUAAAAAAAUAAUCUUUUAAUAUUUGAAUACCAUAAAAAAAAAAGAUAAGAAAAAAAUAUUAAUAAAAGAUAGACAACUUGUUAAAAAAUUUUGUUCAUCACUUUCCCUAGAAAAAUGUGGUGAAAGUUUGGGAAAAGUGAGAACAUAAUAGGUUUUUUUUUUCCUUUCAAUUCUCAUUGAUAAUUAGAUAAGAGAAAAGUUUUCUAAUUUUACUUUAUUUGCAUUUUUUUCUCUUUUUCUUCAAUUAUUCUUAUAGUUUAAUGUUGCUAUCAAUAAAACUCACAAUAUAAACUAAUGGAUAGAAUAUUUGAAGGCAUUUGAUCAUAUGAAAGAUUUGGACAUGGACAUGUACAUGUACAUGAACAGCUUUAAAUAGUGACCAGUUGAACAGAAUAGAUGGUGAAUUAAAUAUAAAGAGUGAAUGAUGGAUGGAUGAAUGGAGACUGCAGAAGGUCCUAGGUUGGACCCAUCAGACAGCUGAUGCCUUCACUGGAUAGAGCUCAGAACCAAGAAUGAGUACUGCUGCUGGAGGCAUCAACAUCAACCAUUUAUUUGUUUGAAGCUUCAAACUAAUCUUAUGGUCAUGCUAUGCCCUGUGCCCAUGCUCCAUGGGCCACACUGCCAUGCCUCCUCAUUGUUAUAUCUUGAUGCUUAUCCUGUACCAUUCACCAAUAUUAACAACCUUCAUGCAUGAAGAAAAAAGAGAUUAUAAAUGAGGGUUUUUAAGCAUUUAUAAUGAGGAUGAUGACUUGGUUAAACCCACAAAACCAUGGAUUUGGUCAACAUUGAGUGAACAUGUGGUGUGGCCCUAAGGCCAUAUAUGGAUUAGGUCAACAUUCAAAACCAUAAAAAUGCGUCCACCUUGAUAUGGACAUGUGAAGUCCAACUCCAACUUGAAUGAUUCCACCAUCGUUAGCUUCUCCUUCUGGCCGACCGAGCGUAGCUAAGCUACCAUAUUUGCUGAAAUGGGAUCCUCUAAUGUGGUCCCAUCACUGGAACCUUCCUUUACGCCAUUCCUCUACCUGGCCUAGGGGGAUAUAUUGUAACCAUGCAAGCAACUGAAUAUUCUUUUCCCAUUUCUCUGCCCUGUCUUGAGAUAUAUUUAUGAAUCUUGAGCCCACAGCUGUAUGGGUGUUGGCUACUUUUGAAGUCCUUGACACAGUAAAUUAGUAUCUAUCAAGUAGAAGUAGUGAAACAUCAGUGAAGGAAAACGUCCUUUGGCUCCAGUAUUUUCCGCACAUUUGCUUAUUAAUUUGGUUAAUUAUUCAGUUGAUUGCAUGUUCAUAUUUGGUGGUUGAUUGGAUGAUACGUUUAAAAUAUUAACAUUAAUAUUGUUGAAGGGUAUUAUUCUAUACAUUGAGUCCAAGUCCAACAAGAUUAUACUUUUAAGAUAAUUGGUAGGUCAAUAUCUUACAAUAGCAUCAUUUAAUUUGCUUUUUAAUUUAUUGAGUUCAUGUAGAAGUCCAAAGAGAUUGCCCAUGGACUUGUAAUUAUGGGUGCCGCAUGUUCUCUCUCCAUAUGUGGAUAUAGGGGGGGCUGUAUAUAGGAGAGGAUAUUGAAGAGCAUGACGUACGUUAUGGGUCUAAACCCUAUAAAUUUAAGUUUUUAGGAAAAUUAAUAAUUUAAAAAACAUGUACCUAAAUUUUAUUAGAUUUAAUUUCAUAAAACUUGUCAACUAAUUUAAAAUUGUAAAUGUAGUGAUAGCUGGUAGAUAGUAAUAUUGUGAGAUUAAUUCAUUAAUUAAUUAAUAGAUACAUGGUAACAAAUGCAGGGUUAAGUGGAUAAAAUUGAAUAUUAGGAUAUGCUUGAAUUGCCAAAGUCAUUUGGAGAACAAACUCCUCAUUUGGAAAUAGGGGAAGUAGCAUAAAUAUGACAUUAUUCUUCAAAACCCUAUGGGUAGAAAACUGAAUUUAGAAACCUGAUAUCUUGAGACCCACAAUCAGGAGGAAAAUUUUAAUACCUAAAAUUUUCACAAUACAUGUUGAAUUUUAGUACUAUAGAAGGUUUCUGAAAAAUUGUCAGAAACAAUGGCUAAAAAUUGUAUUAAUGAUUGAGGAUUUAAAUGUUAUAAGAUUGAAGUUAUAAUUAUGGUCAAGGAGUUAAAAUUAGUACAAAGGUGGAAGAUUAAUUGUUAAAUGAGUGGUGGACAUUGUGGAUGAAAUAUAAUUGAUUGAAAAUUAGUUUUUGAAUUUGGGAUUUAUAGUUGGUUAUUUUAUGGGGGAAGAUUUGAAUUAGAGUAUGAGGAAUUUAAUCAUUUAAUUCUUGCUUGAUUGAGGAAUUGUUUAAGGUUUAAUGCUUGAGGAUUGAAUUUAGGCUUAUGGCUUGGGUGAUUAGGUUAAUGUGCUUGUGGUUAGUGUUAAAUUACCAUAGUUGGGAGGAACAAUACAUAUGCAUAUUGGUUCGGGCCAAAGAAGCAAUCUUUUUUUGUUUGUGAGGAUAUGUUUUUGAAUCCAUUGACAUUUUUCAGAAGCGUCAUCUUCUAACAAUAUAAACCUUGAUGCUCAAAAUAAACAUCAUCUUUAUUCAACCUUGACAUUUUUUAGCACUAGCAUUUGUAUGAAUUUCCCAUUUGAAGUUAAUGUUGGUGCUUACAUAAGAGUCAAUGAUAAAUAAAAUGUCAUUCUAUACUUACCAACAAUGUUGACCUCAUUACAAGUGUCAUAUUCUUAGAGUACCAAUUUGGAUGCUUGAAAGAAGCUUCAUCUUAUGUGACUCUUCAUUUCAAUGAUGAUAUUCACUUGUCUACCUUGAUUGUAAUUUGUAGAGCAUCAUUAUAUAUUUUAUAAUAAAGAAUACUACUACAUUUUGGAUUUCUUGACAUGUCAUUAUUUGUGUCCUAUUAUUAGAAUUUUCUAUAUAAAUUUCAUAUUAUUUUGCAAAAUAAGCCAAAUUAAACCUUAACAAAAUCAAAUUGAAGAUAUUCAUCAUACAAAAAUACCACCAAUAGUUCUCUUAAAAUUGUACAAUAAACAUGAUACAUUGAUUAUGAAUUUGGUUAACUUUUAUCUCAUUUCAAAUGUCGAUAUUAUAAGAUAUAAACAACUCAAAUAUAUACUUUUAGUGCUACUUUUUAAGAUUUUAGUUGUUCAUGGUCUUUUUUUUGCAAAUGAUCAUUGAUUUGUAUGCAAAUCAUGACUUUCUAUGAGUUCAAAAGAACUAUUUUGCAGAAGAAAAACAUAUAAACUAGUCCAGUUACACAUAUACUUAUGCUAGUGCAUUAUUUAGGAACUAAUGGUGGAAUUUCAAGAUUUUACAUAGAAAAAUAGGAAGAAAAAUCAUACUUUGGAUCAAAGAAAUGGGUAAGGAAAGACCAAAUGGAAAGACAGGAGAAUGGAGUUGAAAGAAACAAAUUUGUAGCUAGUAUCAAAAUGUAGAGCAACUUUUCACACUAUAAUUAUAAAAGUGAUUUCAUACUAAAUAAAUUAACAAAAAAAAAAAGGUAUCAAACUCAAAUUGAUACAUGAUUGUGGUGUCAAAUUGUGGAAGAAUGAUGGAGUUCUUAGGCAUUUCUCAAAUUGAUACAUAGAUGCCUUGUCAAAAUUCAAUUGACAUUGAGUUUUUGGUAUCAAUUCUUGGUAGUGUGAGGAGGUUUCUAGAGGAUACUUCCAAACCAUGUGCUUCAAUUGAUUUCAAAUUGAUAGGAGAGCUAGUUCAACAUGAACACUUUGUUUUAAAAUGUAACUCGACACCAAAGCAGAAAUGGAUGUUUAAGCCUUCUAUUGCCUUGUAUUGAUUUGGUCAAUUAUGGUAUCAAAAUUUUGGUAUUAGAUUGUUAUUUUUGCCCUUUUGCCCUUUUACCCUUUUACCAAAAUUUUGAUAUCGAGGGAUUGUAACUAACUUUGAUUUUGUUUUAAGAUAGUUUAUAUUACUUUAGGAGGGGUGGCAUUAGGGGAUUUUGCCACUUGCUUUUGAAACACUAUACAUAGGUUAGUUGUUAGUUGUUAAGAUUAUUAUUUUGAAAAUUAAUUUGAAAUUUCAUUAAUCAUGUUGGAAUAGCCUUGUAAAGCAAGACUUUUUUAGACUUAAUCAAUAUUGAUAAUUUAUUUAGUUAUUUUGUCAUGCAUACAUUUUAAUGGAUGUUUCAUUUACACUAUCGUUAUAAAUAUUUAGCCUAAUCAAUCACAUUGUAUAAAACAUGGAUGUAGGUGGAUACACAAAGACACAUUUGUGGGGUUCUUAUGUCUUGAUAAGCGACUUCCCAAUUGUUCAUGAGCAUAGACAACUUAGUAGAGGUUGUAGUCUAACACCUCCUUGAUUGGUAGGAUGACUUGUCUUAGUCAUUUAAGUGAGACUUUGAGGUGGAUGUGCUUGAUUACUACUCAAAACAUGCUAUUUGGUAGCUUGUUAUUAGCUAUUUUAAGCACCCUUGAGUAGUAAUUAUUACCUUUUAACUCAAUUAACAUGAUAGGGACCCUUGCAAUCGUUUCUAAUCAAUUUGUGUUAAGUUUUGGUGCUUUUUGAUAGCUUUAUGCUCACCAAAGCAAUUUAAGAAUGAGGAAGAGCUAUAUAUAAUUCAUGGCAAAGCUUUUGGAAGCUCAAAUUUAAGAAGAAACCAAGCUUUGGAGCCUCAUAAUCCUUUGCCUUAGUCGUUCAAAGUAUGCAAGGAAAGAACAAUGGAGAAGAGGAAAACAGGGUGAUGAAAACAGGGGACACAGCUGCAGUCUUUCAUCGCACUUUUGGAGCACUUCCCGAAGUCCAUUUUCUACAUUCUAUAUACCAUUUCAAAGCUCAGAAAGUCAAGAAUCCAAUUAUUCAAACCAUGUACGAUUUGGAGCUGAAAUGAGGAAGAUAUGGCCUCUGGAAGACAACUGCAUCAAGCUGAGGGACAAUUUCACACGAUGGAAAUCAAGGUGCGAAUUCCUCAGUCCAAAGUGUGGGAAUUUCGCACACCUGAAACCAAAGUGCGAAAUUGGAACUGCAACGUGCGAAAAUUGGAUAUUUUUGCCGACUCUUUUUCUUCUGAUAUUUUUGUGUCUAAAUUUCCAUUUUCUCCUUGUAUUCAGCCACUCAUGUAAUUCCUUAGCUAGCAAGUAUCCAAGGAAGGGUAAAAUUACCUUCCUAUAUAAAUUCUCUUGUAAACACUGAAGAGCACUCUCGGGGAGCUUUCUCCAAGAGACCAACUGAUGUAAAUUCUACACUUAGUGAAAUACAGAGAUCUCUUUUGCUUUCUUUUUCUCUCUACUAUUUUCUAUUUUCUUGGAAGCCAAACAGCCUCUGAGGAUGUUUUCCCAGAGGAUGAGAAGCUAAACUUAUAGUUUCUUGGAGUAAAGGAAGCUAGGUGAAAAGUCCAGAUUAAAAGGUGGAGCGUUUCCGUGCAUUAAAUUCAGGUGGUUGGAGUCCAUAAAUGGUUUCUAAAUUCAAAGUUUUGCUUUAAAUCCCUUAGAAUCACUUUGACUAGCCAAUACAUGGUAAGCUUCAGGUCUCUAUGGAUGCUUAUUGCUAGAUCCAUAUCAGUCCAUUAGUUAUCAUGUACGAGCUAGUGGAAAGUGAUUCAAGGUGAUAACCCAUAGUGUCUUAAGCCAUUAAUGGAUCUCGACUACCAUCUCUAUUGACUUUUUAUGGAUUAAAUCUUCAUUGUCAAACCUAUACCGGUUUGGGAAAUAACUAUAGGUUAAAUCCCCAAUGCGAGGAGAAAAAUCCAGAAUUUUCCACUUUGCAUCCUGAACUUGAACCUAGCAACCUUUAGCUCCGGGAGACUUUCUUUCUUCUAUUUUUACUUAGUUUUAUGUGAGUUUAGUUUCAAUCACCACUUUCAAAACAAUUUUAUUUUCUUUUAAAUUUCAAGUUUGUGCUAAAGGAAAUCAUCAGAAUCAAUUUCUAAUUUAGAGUCUGUCAUUGAUAGAGUGAAAACCCAUCCCUGAGUUCGACCCUAGAACUGCUAUACUAUAGUAGCUUUGCUACGCCAGUAUAAGGUCAUAGGAUUUAUAAAUGUUUUUGAUUAAAAGACCCGGCUGGGCAAUGAAUCAAAUGGCGCCGUUGCCGGGGAUGGUGCCACAAUACAGUGAUGCAACCUUUUAGAGGCUACUUGUGAAUCCAUCACAAGUUUGGUGAAUUCCUUUUUCAUUAACUUCAUUUCCUUUCAUUUUCCUUUUGUUAAGUUUAUUUUCGUUUUCUUCCUAACCUUAAUUUUUUUUCUAGGUUUCUUUUGUUUUUGUUUUAUUUCAGGUAAGUAGUAACUUGUGCAUGCCCUAUUGGAUCAGGGACCAAGAGGGAAGAUUAGUAAGGAUUGAGAAUCCUCAAGACACAGAGUUGGAUAUCUGUGUAAACAUCAUGGACCCUCCACCAGAGGAUCAGAAUUCUCAACAAGGUCAAGGGGGUAAUCCCAAUGCAUAUCUAUCCAUGAGGGAUAGAAUGCAUCCACCAAGGAUGAGUGCACCCUCAUGCAUCCUACCCCCUCUUGAGCAGUUGGUUAUAAGGCCCCAUAUUGUGCCCCUCCUACCAAAUUUCCAUGGAAUGGAGAGUGAGAAUCCAUAUGCUCACAUCAAGGAGUUUGAGGAGGUGUGUAAUACCUUUAGAGAGGGAGGAGCUUCAAUAGACUUGAUGAGACUCAAGCUAUUCCCUUUCACUUUGAUAGACAAGGCAAAAAUAUGGCUUAAUUCUUUAAGGCCAAGGAGCAUAAGGAAUUGGGUUGAUCUUCAGGCUGAGUUUUUGAAAAAAAUUUUCCCCACCCAUAGGACCAAUGGGUUGAAGAGGCAAAUCUCAAACUUUUCUGCAAAAGAAAAUGAGAAGUUCCAUGAAUGUUGGGAAAGGUAUAUGGAAGCCAUCAAUGCUUGUCCUCAUCAUGGUUUUGAUACAUGGCUCUUAGUGAGCUAUUUUUAUGAAGGAAUGUCUUCUUCCAUGAAGCAAAUUCUUGAAACCAUGUGUGGGGGAGAUUUUAUGAGUAAGAAUCCUGAAGAAACCAUGGACUUUUUAAGUUAUGUGGCUGAGGUGUCAAGAGGCUGGGAUGAGCCCAACUCAAGAGAGAAAAGAAAGUUUCCCUCUCAACAAACCCAAAAUCCAAAGGCUGGAAUGUACAUGUUGAGUGAAGACGUGGACAUGAAAGCUAAAGUGGCAACAUUAGCUAGGAGGUUAGAAGAACUUGAGUUGAAAAAGAUGCAUGAAGUCCAAGCCAUUUCCGAUACCCAAGUUCAUGUCAUGCCAUGCACCAUUUGCCAAUCAUGUGAUCAUGUGGUAGAUGAGUGCCCAACCAUGCCAGCAGUGAGAGAAAUGUUAGGUGAUCAAGUAAAUGUUGUGGGGCAAUUUAGGCCCAACAACAGUGCAUCCUAUGGUAACACCUAUAAUUCAAGCUGGAGAAACAAUCCAAAUUUUUCUUGGAAACCAAGACCACCUCCAUACCAACCGUAAGCCCAAACUCAAGCACCUCAACAAACCUCUUCAGUGGAGCAAGCCAUUGCAAACCUAAGUAAAGUCAUGAAUGACUUUGUGGGUGAACAAAGGGCAAUCAACUCCCAAUUGCACCAAAAGAUUGAGAAUGUUGAGAGUUCUCUAAAUAAGAGAAUGGAUGGGAUGCAAAAUGAUCUAUAUCAUAAGAUAGAUAAUAUUCAGUACUCCAUCUCUAGACUUACCAACCUCAACACAGUGAAUGAGAAGGGAAAGUUCCCCUCUCAACCAAGCUAAAAUCCCAAGGGUGUUCAUGAAGUUGAAACCCAAGAUGGUGAGUCUUCAAAUUUGAGAGGGGUCAAAGCUGUGAUCACCUUGAGGAGUGGAAAGGAGGUUGAUCAACCCUUGCCUAAGGUGAGGCAAGAUGAAGAACUCAUGUCAAAGAGACCUUUGAUUAAAGAGAGCAAUAGCCAAGAAGAGCAGAGUGGGAAGAAAAGUACAUCCAAAUCAAGCACUGAAGAAGAACCAAGGAUAGUGAUUAAGGAGGAUAUGAUGAAAAAACAUAUGCCUCCCCCUUUUCCUCAAGCUUUACAUGGAAAGAAAGAAAUCAAGAAUUCAUCAGAAAUUCUUGAGGUUCUGAGACAAGUGAAGGUGAAUAUACCCUUACUUGAUAUGAUCAAGCAAGUCCCCACAUAUGCAAAGUUUCUAAAGGACUUGUGCACAGUCAAGAGAGGGUUACAGGUGACAAAGAAUGCAUUCCUCACUGAACAAGUGAGUGCUAUCAUUCAGAGUAAGUCCCCAGUUAAGUAUAAAGAUCCGGGAUGUCCCACCAUAUCAGUUAACAUUGGAGGGACACAUGUGGAGAAAGCUUUACUAGACUUGGGGGCAAGUGUGAAUUUGCUCCCAUACUCUGUGUAUAAGCAACUGGGACUUGGAGGAUUGAAGCCCACAACCAUGACCCUCUCCUUAGCUGAUAGGUCAGUCAAAAUCCCAAGAGGGGUGAUAGAGGAUGUUCUAGUUCAAGUAGACAAAUUCUACUACCUUGUUGAUUUUGUGGUACUUGAUACUGAUUCCACUAUCAAGGAAGAAAAUUAUGUGCCAAUCAUCCUAGGGAGGCCUUUCCUCGCUACCUCCAAUGCUAUCAUUAAUUGUAGGAAUGGGGUGAUGCAGCUCACAUUUGGAGACAUUGGAAUUAAACAUAUUCCACCUAUGCAAGAGGCAUCUUCACCCUGAAGAGGAGGAAGGAUUUGAGGAGGUAUGCUUGAUCAACACUUUGGUCGAAGAGCACUGUGACAAGAAUUUAGAAGAGAGCUUGAAUGAAAGCCUGGAAGUGCUUGAAGAUGGGUUCCCUGAACCCUCUGAUGUGCUAGCCAUUAUGUCUCCUUGGAGGAGACGGGAAGAGAUCUUACCACUGUUCAACCAGGAAGACUCACAAGGAGUUGCUGUGGAUGACCAUCCAAAGCUUAUUUUAAAGCCAUUUCUUGUGGAUUUGAAGUAUGCAUACUUGGAGGAUGAUGAGAAAUGUCCAGUGGUGGUUUCCUCAACUCUCACUAGUGAUAAAGAGGAUAGUCUUUAGGAGUCCUCAGAAAAUGCAAGAAAGCCAUUGGAUGGCAAAUUUCUGAUCUGAAAGGGAUUAGCCCUUUGGUCUGCACCCACCAUAUCUAUAUGGAAGAGGAUGCAAAACCAGUGAGGCAACCCCAGAGGAGACUGAAUCCUCACAUGCAAGAGGUGGUGAGGGGUGAAGUUCUUAAGCUACUUCAAGCUGGGAUCAUAUAUCCCAUCUCAGACAGCUUGUGGGUGAGUCCCACCCAAGUAGUCCCAAAGAAAUCUGGAAUUACUGUAAUCCAGAAUGAGAAAGGGGAGGAAGUCUCUACACGUCCUACCUCAGGAUGGAGGGUGUGUAUAGACUAUAAGAGGUUGAAUUCAGUAACUAGGAAGGAUCAUUUUCCAUUGCCUUUCAUGGACCAAGUCCUUGAGAGAGUCUCAAGACAUCCUUUCUAUUGUUUUCUAGAUGGUUAUUCAGGGUACUUCCAAAUAGAAAUUGAUUUGGAAGAUCAAGAAAAGACAACCUUCACUUGCCCCUUUGGUACUUUUGCAUAUAGGAGAAUGCCCUUUGGUCUAUGUAAUGCUCCUGCAACUUUCCAAAGAUGUAUGCUAAGCAUCUUCAGUGAUAUGGUGAAACGCAUCAUGGAAGUUUUCAUGGAUGAUAUCACUGUAUAUGGAAGUUCUUAUGAGGAGUGUUUAUUGCAUUUAGAAGCUAUUCUCCAUAGAUGUAUUGAGAAAGACCUAGUGCUAAAUUGGGAGAAGUGCCAUUUUAUGGUACAAAAAGGAAUUGUCUUAGGACAUAUCAUCUCCAAGAAUGGCAUUGAGGUAGAUAAGGCAAAGGUGGAGCUAAUUGUUAAGUUGCCACCUCCCACAAAUGUUAAAGGAAUUAGGCAAUUCCUAGGACAUGCCGGGUUCUAUAGGAGGUUCAUUAAGGAUUUCUCAAAAAUCUCAAAACCUCUUUGUGAACUCUUGGUAAAGGAUGCCAAGUUUGUGUGGGAUGAGAAGUGUCAGAGGAGUUUUGAGGAAUUGAAACAAUUCCUCACAACUGCACCAAUAGUGAGAGCCCCAAAUUGGAAAUUACCUUUUGAGGUAAUGUGUGAUUCAAGUGAUCUUGCUAUGGGGGCUGUUUUGGGGCAAAGAGAAGAUGGAAAGCCCUAUGUGAUUUAUUAUGCAAGCAAAACUUUGAAUGAGGCUCAAAGGAACUACACAACUACUGAGAAGGAGUUGUUGGCAGUAGUUUUUGCCUUGGAUAAGUUUCGUGCUUAUUUGGUAGGGUCCUCUAUAGUGGUGUUCACUGACCAUUCUGCUUUGAAAUACUUGCUAACCAAGCAAGAUGCCAAGGCAAGAUUGAUAAGAUGGAUUCUUUUGCUCCAAGAAUUCAAUCUCCAAAUCCGGGAUAAAAAAAGGGUAGAAAAUGUGGUAGCUGACCACUUGUCCAGACUUGUGAUAGCACAUGACUCACAUGGUCUGCCUAUCAAUGAUGACUUCCCUGAGGAGUCUCUCAUGUCAAUAGAUGUAACUCCAUGGUAUUCUCACAUUGCAAACUUUUUAGUUACCGGAGAAGUACCAAGUGAGUGGAGUGCCCAAGAUAAGAGGCAUUUUUUUGCCAAGAUCCAUGCCUAUUAUUGGGAGAAGCCUUUUUUUUUUAAAUAUUGUGCGGAUCAAAUCAUAAGGAAAUGUGUUCCUGAGCAAGAACAAUUGGGAAUUCUUUCCCAUUGCCAUGAUAGUGCAUGUGGAGGUCAUUUUGCCUCCCAGAAAACAACUAUGAAAGUAAUCCAAUUAGGCUUCUGGUGGCCCUCUUUUUUCAAAGAUGCCCACUCUAUAUGCAAGGGAUGUGAUCGGUGUCAAAGGCUUGGUAAGCUAACACGUCGAAAUAUGAUGCCCUUGAACCCCAUCCUAAUAGUGGAUAUCUUUGAUGUUUGGGGGAUAGACUUCAUGGGACCAUUUCCAAUGUCAUUUGGACAUUCCUACAUUUUGGUGGGAGUGGAUUAUGUCUCUAAGUGGGUAGAAGCAAUCCCAUGUAGGAGCAAUGAUCAUAAGGUGGUUCUUAAAUUCCUCAAGGACAACAUCUUUACAAGAUUUGGAGUGCCAAAGGCCAUUAUAAGUGAUGGGGGAACCCACUUUUGCAAUAAACCUUUUGAGACUCUUCUAGCCAAGUAUGGGGUUAAGCACAAGGUAGCUACACCUUAUCACCCUCAAACAAGUGGCCAAGUUGAGUUAGCCAACCGUGAGAUCAAAAAUAUAUUGAUGAAGGUGGUCAAUGUGAAUAGGAAGGAUUGGUCUAUCAAGCUCCUGGAUUCCUUAUGGGCUUAUAGGACCGCUUACAAGACCAUUUUAGGAAUGUCUCCCUAUCGCCUUGUUUAUGGCAAAGCGUGUCAUCUUCUAGUGGAGAUUGAGUAUAAAGCAUGGUGGGCAAUCAAAAAGCUCAACAUGGAUUUGACAAGAGCCGGGUUAAAGAGAUGUUUGGAUUUGAAUGAAUUGGAGGAAAUGAGGAAUGAUGCAUACCUCAAUUCAAAAAUUGCAAAAGCAAGGUUAAAAAAAUGGCAUGAUCAAUUGGUAAAUCAGAAGAAUUUGACCAAAGGACAAAGAGUUUUGCUUUAUGAUUCUAAACUUCAUCUCUUUCCAGGAAAAUUGAAAUCCAGGUGGACGAGUCCUUUCAUAAUUCAUGAAGUGCAUCCCAACGGAGUGGUGGAAGUAUUCAAUCCCACAGGCAAUCAAACCUUCAAAGUCAAUGGCCAUCGUCUCAAGCCAUUCAUAGAGCCUUAUAGUACAGACAAGGAGGAGAUCAACCUCCUUGAACCACAACAACUCUGAUGAAAAGCAGGGUAUCAUGGACUAAAUAAGUCCAUGAAUUUUUUGUUAUAGUUUUAUAAUUAUAUCAUUAUUUUUGUUUCUUUUGAUUAUAAUUUUUCCUCAAACUUAGUUUAUUUUGUCUUAAUUCAAGUCAAUUUUGAUGAUAAAUUUCAGAAAAAAAUCAAGAAAAAGGUGGAGAACUCUUCAAAAGCAAGACAGGGGAGCAAAACCAAGGGAACAGAGCACUGCAUUUCAAGGUGCGAAAAUUUCGCACGAUGCAUUUCAAGGUGCGAAUUCCUUAGUCGAAAGGGUGGCAAUUUCGCACACCUCAAAACAAGGUGCGAAAUUGAAAGCAAGGUGCGAAAUCCCCUGUUCAAGGUGCGAAUUCCCCAAAUGCCAUUUUCGCACACCACUAUUCAAGGUGCGAAAAUUUUCGCACCGUGCGAAAUCCCCUCCUGGCACACGAGUGCCAUUUUCGCACACCUCAAGCCAAAUUUCGCACCGUGCGAAACAAGGUGCAAAAUUUUCGCACAGUGCGAAAUUGAGUGCGAAAUUGAUUUCAAGGUGCGAAAACCACUGUCCAAAGGGUACCAUUUUCGCACACUUAAAUCCAAGGUGCGAAAAUUUCGCACGGUAAAAUUUUAAGUUCCAAAAAUUUUAAACUGACUUUUAAAUUAAAAUUUUACCCCCGAAAAUGUGCCUAACGUCCAAAAACGACUUUUCGGUUGCCUUGGAAAUUUUUAAACAUCAAAACCCCCCAGACCCCAUCCCUAUAUAAACCCUUGAAGCCCUGAAACUCAAAAGACUCCCCCGCGCACCAGCUGAGAAGCCUCUGGAAUCCUGAACAGCCACCUCCCUUCAUUUCGACCAUGGCAAAGACCAGAGGAGGCCUUUCCGCCUCCCCAUCAUCACCGACGCCUCGACCACAGCAAGCCACCAUGGGAGGCGCCGCUUCGCCACCUGUUCAGGCCUCGACCAUUUCCCCAUCUGAGAGGGGAACCCCUUCUCAGCGUCGAUACCCCACCAGGAGGCCACCCACUGAACCUGUGCCUCCUGCCGACCAACCUCAGAGACCUGCUUCUCGACCCCUUGCGAAGAGAACUAAGUUCUCGGGUCUUGGAGAGCCAUCCCAUGCGCCUCAGGCAGAGCCGCCUACAGAGGAACCUCGGAUUCCUGUGGGGAUUCCUCCCGAGACCGUUAUCAGGCAUCCCAUGAUAGCCAGACCACCGAUAGAGGGCAACCUGGAUUGCCGAGAUCGAUCAUUCCACUCCGAGACCUACUUUGAUAUAGAGGCCCUCAGACAGCAGCCAGAGCUCAGAGAUUCAUUCUGACUGCUGCAGAGGUAUCACAUGGAGCAUUUUCUCACUCCUAGACAAUUCUAUUAUCCCAGAGUAGUUCUAGAUUUUUAUCAAUCUAUGACUACUCGAGGCCUCCGCAAUCCUACUCUUAUCCAAUUUACCAUAGACGGACGCCAGGGUGCCAUUGGAGCUCGCCACAUUGCAGAGGCCCUCCGUAUACCUUAUGAGCCUGUGAUUCAGGCAAACUUCAGGGAGUGGUCCUCAUUCUCUCAGAGCGACAUGGUCCGUAUCUUGUCCAGGGGGACUUCUACAGCCUCAGUGUUGACUAGGAGAAAGCUUCCAUCUGGGAUGCUCCUUAUUGAUGUGCUCCUGCGUGCCAACAUCUUCCCACUUCAGCAUAAAGUUCAGAGGAGAGGAGCUAUACUUGAGGCAUUAUUUAGGAUUUCUAAGGGCUAUUACUUCGGCCCUCAUCAUUUGAUUAUGACUUAUCUUCUUCAUUUUGAAGAGAAAGUCCAUCAGAAGAAGCUUUAGAGGGCAGAUGGCAUCCCAUUAUUAUUUCCGAGGCUCCUUUGUCAGAUUUUAGAGCACCUGGGCUAUCCUGAAGAGCCCCGCCUUGAGAGGCGCCGCCAUUGCCGAGAGGACUUCUCUCUCGACAAAUGGCAUCACUUGACAGCCUACUUUGCAGCUCAGGGAGCCCCAGCUGUACCUGCACCUCCAGAGCUACCCCGAGAUGAGCAACUACCUCAGGCCUAGCAGGAUGAGAUUCUCACAGACACCACACCUCCUGCCCCUACAGCACACACCUCAGUGCAUAUGCCUGAGGCUAUACAUCCUACUUCUCCUCUCACUCAGGGUGCUCCACCAGUAGUGCCAGCUACCCCAACACCUCUUCCUUCAUCUGAGCCCACUGUCACCGUUUCUCUUACGGAAUUCAGAGGCUUAGUGCAUUCAUUGCAGACACUGAGCACUGCUCAGGAUUCUAUUAUCCAGCAGAUGGCCACUAUUCGUGCGCACUAGGAUCAGAUCAUGGCUACUCAGGCCCAGCAUACCACGAUCCUUUAUCAGAUCCAGCAGCAUCUGAGUAUGCAGACACCUCUUGGGCAUGAUAGGUCUGCACCAUCCGAGCCUCUAGUGCCAGAUGAGGAGACCAUACCAGCUGAGCAGCCCAUAUCAGCUGAGGAGAUCAGAGCAGGCCAUCACAUGAUCCCACUACUAUCUGAUCUUUUUAUGUUUUACUUGUUUUUAUAUAUUAGACUUGUAAAUCCCAUCUUUUUCAUGUUUAUAAACUGGGAUUGGAUAUAUUACUGGAACAUCAUGCAUUGUAUAUUUCUUUUCCAAGUAAAUAUAUAUAUAUAUAUAUAUAUCCUUUUUGAUUAUAUUUCCUUUUCUCAUUACUCUUUUGUCUUUGGAACAUGUGGUUUAAGGUAUUCCAUACCUCCUAUACACUCAGACUUUGAACCACAAGAGGUACCACUUCCUCCCUUUUCUUUUAAAUCGCUCUUUAAACAUUGAGGACAAUGUUUAGCUUGGUUGGGGGGAGAGUUGAGAAAGGAAGUUUUGUUGUUAAUACUAAGUUAUUUUGGUAAUUUAGUUGAUUUCUGCUUAAAGUUUAAAAUUUUUUAAAAAGUUUUUUUGAAUCAUUCUCUAUGUUUGUUAAAGAUAAUUUCUCAAAAAUAAAAUAGGAUAAGUCGAGUUUUAACUUAAUUAUUUAAGUCUUAUAGUUUGUUUUAUGCUUUCAAAGUUAAUAAUCUAUUGAAGCCCUCUUUGAUUUCAAACUUAUUUCUUCCAUUUCAAGCUUUACACACACUGUGCACAUUAGAUCCCGGAUAUAUGAUGUAAAAAUUUCCCACCUUCUAAGCUUAGGAAAAUUUUGACUUGGUUCAUUACAUAACCUCUCUUUAAUAGUGUUGGGACACCUCAUAAAGACCAAUGAGUCUUUGAAAAAAAAAAAAAAGAGAAUAAGCUUCUUUUCUUUCCUUGAAACCUAAGCAUGAUCCGAAGGGGUGGCAAAAGCCUUUAAAGCCCGAUGCCCUAAACCUUGAUUGGUUGGGAGUCAUCGAUCCUCUGCUUGCUACAUAGGUGAAUUGGUUAAGUUUAGUGAGUAAAAAGAAUUGUGAAUAAGAAGGUGCGUUCCUAACCUAAUAAGAGUUAGUUAAUUUUGCCAAUGUUCGAGAAAAGCUUAGGUUGGAGGGAGAGGAUAGUUGUACAUACUAUAUCCGGAAGCUAAUCUCAUUAACACUUAGCUCAUUAUGGAAGAGUUUGAUUUGGAACCUUGAGAGUAGAGAUUCUUUUGAUACUUAAUUGCAUAAUCUCCACUCUUUGUACUUUUUGUUUAAGUUUUAGUUUUGACAACUCCUAUUGUAUUUUGAAUCUUCAUAUCUUUAGUUUACCAUGUGAGAUGUGUUUUGAUAUCAGUCAUGCCACUCAAUUAUUUUUUGGAAUGAUUUGCAUGACCUCUUUUAUGUAUAUUAUUACGUUUGCUUAGUUUUUCUCUCCUUAAUUGCUAAGGGACUAGCAAUAUGUCGGUUGGGGGGAGUGAUUACUACUCAAAACAUGCUAUUUGGUAGCUUGUUAUUAGCUAUUUUAAGCACCCUUGAGUAGUAAUUAUUACCUUUUAACUCAAUUAACAUGAUAGGGACCCUUGCAAUCGUUUCUAAUCAAUUUGUGUUAAGUUUUGGUGCUUUUUGAUAGCUUUAUGCUCACCAAAGCAAUUUAAGAAUGAGGGAGAGCUAUAUAUAAUUCAUGGCAAAGCUUUUGGAAGCUCAAAUUUAAGAAGAAACCAAGCUUUGGGGCCUCAUAAUCCUUUGCCUUAGUCGUUCAAAGUAUGCAAGGAAAGAACAAUGGAGAAGAGGAAAACAGGGUGAUGAAAAUAGGGGACACAGCUGCAGUCUUUCAUUGCACUUUUGGAGCACUUCCCGAAGUCCAUUUUCUACAUUCUAUAUACCAUUUCAAAGCUCAGAAAGUCAAGAAUCCAACGAUUCAAACCAUGUACGAUUUAGAGCUGAAAUGAGGAAGAUAUGGCCUCCGGAAGACAACUGCAUCAAGCUGAGGGACAAUUUCGCACGAUGGAAAUCAAGGUGCGAAUUCCUCAGUCCAAAGUGUGGGAAUUUCGCACACCUGAAACCAAAGUGCGAAAUUGGAACUGCAACGUGCGAAAAUUGGAUAUUUUUGCCGACUCUUUUUCUUCUGAUAUUUUUGUGUCUAAAUUUCCAUUUUCAGCCACUCAUGUAAUUCCUUAGCUAGCAAGUAUCCAAGGAAGGGUAAAAUUACCUUCCUAUAUAAAUUCUGUCGUAAACACUGAAGAGCACUCUCGGGGAGCUUUCUCCAGGAGACCAACUGAUGUAAAUUCUACACUUAGUGAAAUACAGAGAUCUCUUUUGCUUUCUUUUUCUCUCUACUAUUUUCUAUUUUCUUGGAAGCCAAACAGCCUCUGAGGAUGUUUUCCCAGAGGAUGAGAGGCUAAACUUAUAGUUUCUUGGAGUAAAGGAAGCUAGGUGAAAAGUCCAGAUUAAAAGGUGGAACAUUUCCGUGCAUUAAAUUCAGGUGGUUGGAGUCCAUAAAUGGUUUCUAAAUUCAAAGUUUUGCUUUAAAUACCUUAGAAUCACUUUGACUAGCCAAUACAUGGUAAGCUUCAGGUCUCUGUGGAUGCUUAUUGCUAGAUCUAUAUCAGUCCAUUAGUUAUCAUGUACGAGCUAGUGGAAAGUGAUUCAAGGUGAUAACCCAUAGUGUCUUAAGCCAUUAAUGGAUCUCGACUACCAUCUCUAUUGACUUUUUAUGGAUUAAAUCUUCAUUGUCAAACCUAUACCGGUUCGGGAAAUAACUAUAGGUUAAAUCCCCAAUGCGAGGAGAAAAAUCCGGAAUUUUCCACUUUGCAUCCUGAACUUGAACCUAGCAACCUUUAGCUCCGGGAGACUUUCUUUCUUCUAUUUUUACUUAGUUUUAUGUGAGUUUAGUUUCAAUCACCACUUUCAAAACAAUUUUAUUUUCUUUUAAAUUUCAAGUUUGUGCUAAAGGAAAUCAUCAGAAUCAAUUUCUAAUUUAGAGUCUGUCACUGAUAGAGUGAAAACCCAUCCCUGAGUUCGACCCUAGAACUGCUAUACUAUAGUAGCUUUGCUACGCCAGUAUAAGGUCAUAGGAUUUAUAAAUGUUUUUUAUUAAAAGACCCGGCUGGGCAAUGAAUCAGUGCUAGUGUGCAUGUAUUGCACAUUAAAUAGGACCUAUAGUUAAUGUUCCUUAUGCUAUCAAGUUGACAUAUUAAAUCUUCAAGCUACGAUCUUGUAUAAAUUGUUAACCUUGAGAAAUAUUCAAGUUAGUGAUUGAAUUGGUAGUCACUUUGAGUCAUAGAUAAGUGAGACCCUUGUGGACCCUCACCCACUCCAACGACCGACUCGACUCACUAUUUUAAAGGUGAAAGGGAAAGCUGGUUUUCGAGUUUUGAAAAAUUCGUCCCAAUGAGGAACGAUUUUGUUUGGAGUCGCCACUUACUUUUUAUUUUUAUUUUUAAAUGGGGAAAAUUUAAGUAAGAAAAAAAACCCCAGCAUGCCUCCAGUUAGGAAAAAACGGUCCGCGAAAACUAGAUUCUGGGUCCAAGGAUCAGGUUAUCUAUCGGGAAGGUACCUCAUGCGAAGUAGCACCCCUCUAGGCCCAUAAUUCGGUCUCUACUAAUGAACUAGGUAAAUGGGAGCAUAUGGGUCAAAGAUCAAACAAACCUUGGGCUAAAAAAAUGACAUGAAUCACAUAGAACCGCCUAGUAUUUAGCAUGCACAUACACUCAACAAGUCAAAAUCAGAGUGCAUACCUGAGGUCCCCAGCCAAGCGUUGCAUAAAAGGUCAGUCUAUAAGCUCAAAUGCACAACAAAUAUACAUAGCAAUCAUGCACCAAGCAUUCAUGUGAAUUUCAUUAUCCAAAGCCGAAGUGCAUACCCAUGGUCCCUAGCCAUGCGCUACAAGGAAAAUGUGAGGCAAGUAAUACAAGAAUCCAACAUGCACUCUCAAUCAAGCAUCAAAUCUCAUACCCAAAAGGGAGGGAAGUAGGUCAAAAUGAAAUAAAUGGUUUACUUUCUUUUGCGCACAUUCCUCUAAAUUCCAUCAAACCAAACCAUGCUCGCUUAAUCCACAUUCUUCCUAUCCAUGAAGUGGGCUCACAUGAAAUCUAACCAAACCGAAAUCUGACCCUAAAAGUGGCCCAAAAGUUCCCUGGAUCCUAAGGGCUCAAGACACAACAAAAAUGGGGGUCAAAACAUGCUAAAACUAGGGCUGCCUAGUAGAACCUAUUGAACCGGUUCCCAACCAGUUCAACUGAUUGAGAAAAAUUCUGAAACUUUACCAUAAAAUUUCUCAAAGAAUAAGGAAGCAAAAAAAAAAAAAAAAGGGCUUUCAAUUCUGAGCCUGGAUGAGGGAGAACUGGCCGAAACAAUGCAAUGUGUUUAUAAAACGGGGCUGCCAAGAAUAACCUGUUGAACUGGUUCCCAACUAGUACAAAUGAUUGAGAAAAAUUCUGAAACUUUACCAAAAGAUUCCUUGAAGAAUAAGGAAUCAAAAAAAAAAAAAAAACGGCGCUCAAUUCCAAGCCUGGAUGAGGGAGAACCGGCCAAAACAAUGCAAGGUGUUCCUUAUAGAAGACCAAACCCGAACCACCCAACCUUAUUAAAACUAAGGCCAUAGAGCUCAUUGAUCAACCAACAAUGCAGCCCCCCUAAACUCAAGAAACCCAACUGGAAAUUAGGCCAUAUGGACAUCCACAUGUGGCCACCUAAAUCCCUUGAAACCAAACUGAAAUUUCAUUCACCUAAAGCCUCCUACCUACAGCAACUUAAAUCCCAUGGAACAAAUUGAAAUUUUAGCCUCCUAUAGCCUAUGAAUCCAGCUGAAAUUCAACCACCUAAAGCCCCCCCCCCCCCCCAAUGCAGCUACUGGAAUCACCAAGAAGCAAACUGAAAUUUCAGCCACAUGGAACCUCUACAUGUAGCCACAAGACCUGGGGUUUAAGUCCAGAUUUUUAAUGGGUAGCCCCAAAUUAAAAAACAGAGAAGGUCAUGGAGACCUUUUCUCAAUACCAAGCAAAGGAGGUUUCAAGAAAAACCAAGUGGCAUAAACACCCAUACCAACAUAGCACCUGAAUCUAGCACAAGAAUCCUUCUCUUAACAAUCAAGAAGUCACAAUGACCUUCAACCAAAACAAAAACUAAUGAAGGCAGUGACCCUAUUACUCACACAUCAAAAGUAGGUCACUUCCUCCCCAUUCCUGAUUAUAACCAACCCAAAAUGAGACAUCCACAGCAAACAUAAAAAAUGAAACCAUGCAACAGUUACAUAUCAAGAGCAUCCCUAAAGUGACUGUUAAAAAAACAAGUAGGAAGAAUCAUGAGCAGUGCAUAAUUUCUCUUUUAUGCCAUAAAAUUAAAGGAUAAAAACAACAAUCCAAAAGAAUAUGCCUGAGAACCUCUUUCCCAAGAUGAGCAUGAAAGCUGAGAUAUUCAAAAGUGGAAAAAAAAAUUAUAAACCUGGAGCUCCAUUCAUGAACAUCAUGUAUUGACAAGGGGUGCAACUCAACACACAAUUAGCAAAGCAAACAGAAUACAACUUACAACUAGAGUGAGGACAAUAAAGCAAAUUCCUAUUUCUCAAAGGAAAACUCAAAACAGAGCCAUGCCAUUCUAAAUUGAUGUAGGGAGAAACAUAUCAACCAAACUAUGAACUGAGAAAUAGAUCAAAAGAAAACAAAUAAGAACAAUACCAAAUCUUCAAACACUCUUUAUUUGAAGCAACCAUAGAAGUUUCAACAGUAUCUUAAAUAGAGAAGAAAAUCUAAAAGGAAAGGAAUGAGAUACCAGAAUC
RNAcentral lists this long non-coding RNA (36444 nucleotides) under Vitis vinifera (wine grape). RNAcentral's name for it is "long non-coding RNA (VVIN_LNC004609)". Lineage: Eukaryota; Viridiplantae; Streptophyta; Magnoliopsida; Vitales; Vitaceae. The record is from RNAcentral.